GACAGAGGGGGCAAGCGUUGUUCGGAAUUAUUGGGCGUAAAGCGCGUGUAGGCGGCUUUGCAAGUCGGGUGUGAAAGCCCUCAGCUUAACUGAGGAAGUGCGCCCGAAACUGCUUGGCUUGAGUACCGGAGAGGAUGGCGGAAUUCCCCAAGUAGAGGUGAAAUUCGUAGAUAUGGGGAGGAACACCGGUGGCGAAGGCGGCCAUCUGGACGGAUACUGACGCUGAGACGCGAAAGCGUGGGUAGCAAACAGG
RNAcentral lists this ribosomal RNA (253 nucleotides) under uncultured bacterium. Its description in RNAcentral is "partial 16S ribosomal RNA". It matches the Rfam family "Bacterial small subunit ribosomal RNA", at positions 524 to 776 of the family's 1533-position model. The record is from RNAcentral.